GACGAACCGAGCGAACGUUGUUCGGAAUUACUGGGCGUAAAGGGCUCGUAGGUGGCCAACUAAGUCGGACGUGAAAUCCCUCAGCUUAACUGGGGAACUGCGUCCGAUACUGGAUGGCUUGAGUUUGGGAGAGGGAUGCGGAAUUCCAGGUGUAGCGGUGAAAUGCGUAGAUAUCUGGAGGAACACCGGUGGCGAAGGCGGCAUCCUGGACCAACACUGACACUGAGGAGCGAAAGCCAGGGGAGCAAACGGG
Molecule: ribosomal RNA, 253 nt
Filed under: uncultured bacterium
Lineage: Bacteria
Description: partial 16S ribosomal RNA
Rfam family: Bacterial small subunit ribosomal RNA
Source: RNAcentral